UACGUAGGGUGCGAGCGUUAAUCGGAAUUACUGGGCGUAAAGCGUGCGCAGGCGGUUUUGUAAGCCAGAUGUGAAAUCCCCGGGCUCAACCUGGGAAUGGCCUUUGGGACUGCAAGGCUUGAGUGCGGCAGAGGAGACUGGAAUUCCUGGUGUAGCAGUGAAAUGCGUAGAUAUCAGGAGGAAUACCGAUGGCGAAGGCAGGUCUCUGGGCUGACACUGACGCUCAUGCACGAAAGCGUGGGGAGCAAACAGG
Molecule: ribosomal RNA, 253 nt
Filed under: uncultured bacterium
Lineage: Bacteria
Description: partial 16S ribosomal RNA
Rfam family: Bacterial small subunit ribosomal RNA
Source: RNAcentral